CUAAGAAUCUUCCACAAUGGACGGAAGUCUGAUGGAGCGACGCCGCGUGGACGAUGAAGGCCGUGAGGUUGUAAAGUCCUUUUCGGGAGGGGGAAUAACCCGGGGAGGGAAUGCCCCGGGGAUGACGUGAAUCCCGGAAUAAGCCCCGGCUAACUACGUGCCAGCGGCCGCGGUAAUACGUAGGGGGCGAGCGUUGUUCGGAAUCAUUGGGCGUAAAGGGUGCGCAGGUGGCCCGACAAGUCUGGCGUUAAAGUGCGGGGCUCAACUCCGUGAUGCGCUGGAAACUGUCUGGCUUGAGUACAGCAGGGGGCGUCGGAAUUCCAGGUGUAGGGGUGAAAUCUGUAGAUAUAUGGAGGAACACCGGUGGCGAAAGCGGCUCUCUGGUCUGUAACUGACGCUGAGGCUCGAAAGCGUGGGGAGCAAAC
RNAcentral lists this ribosomal RNA (425 nucleotides) under uncultured Spirochaeta sp. RNAcentral's name for it is "bacterial SSU rRNA". It matches the Rfam family "Bacterial small subunit ribosomal RNA", at positions 355 to 773 of the family's 1533-position model. Lineage: Bacteria; Pseudomonadati; Spirochaetota; Spirochaetia; Spirochaetales; Spirochaetaceae. The record is from RNAcentral.